Molecule: ribosomal RNA, 254 nt
Filed under: uncultured bacterium
Lineage: Bacteria
Description: partial 16S ribosomal RNA
Rfam family: Bacterial small subunit ribosomal RNA
Source: RNAcentral
UACGGGGGGAGCAAGCGUUGUUCGGAUUUACUGGGCGUAAAGGGCGCGUAGGCGGCCAGCACAAGUCAGUUGUGAAAUCUCCGAGCUUAACUCGGAAAGGUCAACUGAUACUGUGCGGCUAGAGUGCGGAAGGGGCAACUGGAAUUCUCGGUGUAGCAGUGAAAUGCGUAGAUAUCGAGAGGAACACCAGUGGCGAAGGCGGCUCGCUGGACCCCCACUGACGCUGAGGCGCGAAAGCCAGGGGAGCGAACGGG